UCAUCCUACGGGAGGCAGCAGUGGGGAAUAUUGCACAAUGGGGGAAACCCUGAUGCAGCAACGCCGCGUGAGUGAAGAAGUAUUUCGGAAUGUAAAGCUCUCUCAGCAGGGAAGAAGAUGACGGUACCUGAGUAAGAAGCCCCGGCUAACUACGUGCCAGCAGCCGCGGUAAUACGUAGGGGGCAAGCGUUAUCCGGAUUUACUGGGUGUAAAGGGAGCGUAGACGGCUGCGAAAGUCUGAAGUGAAAGCCAGGGGAUCAACCCCGGGACUGCUUUGGAA
RNAcentral lists this ribosomal RNA (280 nucleotides) under uncultured bacterium. Its description in RNAcentral is "partial 16S ribosomal RNA". It matches the Rfam family "Bacterial small subunit ribosomal RNA", at positions 334 to 631 of the family's 1533-position model. The record is from RNAcentral.